UUAGACAUCACUUCAGGAUGGCCAUAUGCUAUUUCUUUCUCUUUUAGGUCAUCUUCUCUUAGAGGAAGAGGAACAACAGAAUGCAGGGCAGCUCAGAGGCAGAAAUCCUAAAGCAGCUGAAAGGCAUCAUUCUACACCAAUGGCUGCAGAACAAGGAUUGGAAAAAGUGAUACAUAGACAUGCUCCCAACUUCAGCUGAAGACAAGAAGUAAAAAAAAUGCCUGUGGUGACAGAAUAGAAGAAAGGACCUCUGAAGAUGACAUGCUGCAAGUAAGAAGUAUGAAGUGGAACAUAAACUGGCAAUAGCAGCUGAAGUUAUGGAGCACCCAAAACUUAUAGAACAUGAAAAAAUGGACAAGAUUUAUAUAUUUCAUUCAGUCAUUAUAUGGCCUAUUUUUGGUAUUGUCAUAUACCAUAGGCUUUAAACUCAAACUACAAGAGAAUAUCAGCAGCAGCUAUUCCAAUUGGUCCAGUAAACUAUACAACUUCUCCCUAAGAAAUCUGCUUAUUAACCAACAAAAUUGGAUACUUCGAGAGUCAAAAUCCUUCCUGACAAUUCCCCGCCUGCCCUGCCAUCCUCCUGGCUGGGCACGGGUCCCGUGUCCUCUGUUAUGCAGAGAAUCAGCCCUCCAAGGCCUCCCCCAGCAUCCAGAGCUCCUGUGCAGCUCACACUGGAGCUGCUCAUCGCUCUCUGGGUAAUUCCAGCAGAGGAAGAUUGCAACCAUCAAUUCAAGAAACUCACCCACUCAAAGGAAGAGAAAGACAUGAAGGAAGAGAGCAUGGAACUAAUUAGCAUGAGAAGUGAGAGGAUCAUUCAACCAGUAGAAAACUAAUUAAUAAGGAAACUAGAUAACUUUGUAGCUAAUGAACCGUGAUUUUUUUUUUUUUUUUUUUUUUUUUUUUUUGUUGGAAUGUAUGAAGUGCAAAGUUUUGAGAAUCAGCAUGCGAGUUUUGUGGAUUUAGCAACUAGU
Molecule: long non-coding RNA, 971 nt
Filed under: Zonotrichia albicollis (white-throated sparrow)
Lineage: Eukaryota; Metazoa; Chordata; Aves; Passeriformes; Passerellidae
Description: lncRNA (ENSZALG00000006632.1)
Source: RNAcentral